Molecule: ribosomal RNA, 460 nt
Filed under: uncultured bacterium
Lineage: Bacteria
Description: partial 16S ribosomal RNA
Rfam family: Bacterial small subunit ribosomal RNA
Source: RNAcentral
CCUACGGGAGGCUGCAGUGAGGAAUAUUGGUCAAUGGACGAGAGUCUGAACCAGCCAAGCAGCGUGAAGGAUGACUGCCCUAUGGGUUGUAAACUUCUUUUAUGUGGGAAUAAAAUGUUCCACGUGUGGGAUUUUGUACGUACCAUAUGAAUAAGGAUCGGCUAACUCCGUGCCAGCAGCCGCGGUAAUACGGAGGAUCCGAGCGUUAUCCGGAUUUAGUGGGUUUAAAGGGAGCGUAGGUGGAUUGUUAAGUCAGUUGUGAAAGUUUGCGGGUCAACCGUAAAAUUGCAGUUGAAACUGGCAGUCUUGAGUACAGUAGAGGUAGGCGGAAUUCGUGGUGUAGCGGUGAAAUGCGUAGAUAUCACGAAGAACUCCGAUUGCGAAGGCAGCUCACUGGACUGCAACUGACACUGAGGCUCGAAAGUGUGGGUAUCAAACAGGAUUAGAUACCCGAGUAGUC